UUUCCGUAGGUGAACCUGCGGAAGGAUCAUUACAGAGUUCAUGCCCUCACGGGUAGAUCUCCCACCCUUGAAUAUUUAUACCUUAGUUGCUUUGGCAGGCCGUGGAAACACCAUGGGCUCCGGCUUAUGCGUGCCUGCCAGAGGAAACAAACUCUGUUUUUAGUGAUGUCUGAGUACUAUAUAAUAGUUAAAACUUUCAACAACGGAACUCUUGGUUCUG
Molecule: unclassified non-coding RNA, 220 nt
Filed under: plant metagenome
Description: partial contains small subunit ribosomal RNA, internal transcribed spacer 1, and 5.8S ribosomal RNA
Source: RNAcentral